This 575-nucleotide ribosomal RNA is filed under the name Scinax fuscomarginatus (brown-bordered snouted treefrog). Its description in RNAcentral is "partial 16S ribosomal RNA". It matches the Rfam family "Bacterial large subunit ribosomal RNA", at positions 1816 to 2596 of the family's 2925-position model. Lineage: Eukaryota; Metazoa; Chordata; Amphibia; Anura; Hylidae. The record is from RNAcentral.
CGCCUCUUGAAUAAAAAUAAGAGGUCCAGCCUGCCCAGUGACUAAUAUUCAACGGCCGCGGUAUCCUAACCGUGCGAAGGUAGCGUAAUCACUUGUUCUUUAAAUGGGGACUAGUAUGAAUGGCAUCACGAGGGUUAUACUGUCUCCUUUUUCUAAUCAGUGAAUCUAAUCUCCCCGUGAAGAAACGGGGAUACACCUACAAGACGAGAAGACCCUAUGGAGCUUUAAAUACCUCUUCAAACGUUGGACCUCCUCCCCAGUUUUAAACUCACCUAUAUUAACCCCGUACGCUAUGAAGACGACUUUAGGUUGGGGUGACCGCGGAGUACAACAUAACCUCCACGCUGAAUUCAGACUCUUUAAGCCUGAACCAAGAGCCACUGCUCAAAGCACUAAGAAAUUAACAUUUAUUGACCCAAAACAUUUGAUCAACGAACCAAGUUACCCUAGGGAUAACAGCGCAAUCCAUUUCAAGAGUCCAUAUCGACAAAUGGGUUUACGACCUCGAUGUUGGAUCAGGGUAUCCCAGUGGUGCAGCCGCUACUAAUGGUUCGUUUGUUCAACGAUUAAAACCC